This 429-nucleotide ribosomal RNA is filed under the name bacterium. RNAcentral describes it as "partial 16S ribosomal RNA". It matches the Rfam family "Bacterial small subunit ribosomal RNA", at positions 355 to 776 of the family's 1533-position model. The record is from RNAcentral.
UAGGGAAUCUUCAGCAAUGGGGGCAACCCUGACCGAGCAACGCCGCGUGAGUGAAGAAGGUUUUCGGAUCGUAAAGCUCUGUUGUAAGAGAAGAACGUGUGUGAGAGUGGAAAGUUCACACAGUGACGGUAACUUACCAGAAAGGGACGGCUAACUACGUGCCAGCAGCCGCGGUAAUACGUAGGUCCCGAGCGUUGUCCGGAUUUAUUGGGCGUAAAGCGAGCGCAGGCGGUUUAAUAAGUCUGAAGUUAAAGGCAGUGGCUUAACCAUUGUUCGCUUUGGAAACUGUUAAACUUGAGUGCAGAAGGGGAGAGUGGAAUUCCAUGUGUAGCGGUGAAAUGCGUAGAUAUAUGGAGGAACACCGGUGGCGAAAGCGGCUCUCUGGUCUGUAACUGACGCUGAGGCUCGAAAGCGUGGGGAGCAAACAGG